RNAcentral lists this ribosomal RNA (370 nucleotides) under uncultured organism. Its description in RNAcentral is "bacterial SSU rRNA". It matches the Rfam family "Bacterial small subunit ribosomal RNA", at positions 526 to 895 of the family's 1533-position model. The record is from RNAcentral.
CGUAGGGUGCGAGCGUUAAUCGGAAUUACUGGGCGUAAAGCGUGCGCAGGCGGUUUUGUAAGCCAGAUGUGAAAUCCCCGGGCUUAACCUGGGAAUGGCAUUUGGGACUGCAAGGCUUGAGUGCGGCAGAGGAGACUGGAAUUCCUGGUGUAGCAGUGAAAUGCGUAGAUAUCAGGAGGAAUACCGAUAGCGAAGGCAGGUCUCUGGGCUGACACUGACGCUCAUGCACGAAAGCGUGGGGAGCAAACAGGAUUAGAUACCCUGGUAGUCCACGCCCUAAACGAUGUCGACUGGUUGUUGGGGGUUUGACACUCUCAGUAACGAAGCUAACGCGUGAAGUCGACCGCCUGGGGAGUACGGCCGCAAGGUU